UCCCCAUCAACUAAAAAAUGUGAUAUAUUUAAGUCUAGAAGGUUGGGGGUAGAGAUUUUGAAGGUAUUGAUUUCAUCAUGGUAUGUACAUCUAUCAAUAUGUAAAGAUUCCAAAUUGACACAACCCUUAAAUGGAUCAAAAGAGUUUACCCUUCCAACCACAAAUCGACAACAGCAGAGGUAUAGGUGUUUAAGAGAAGGAAUAUCGAAAUUUUUGGUCAGAGUGAGUAUGUAAGUAAGUUUCAGAGUAGUGAGAGAUGUGCAUACAGAGAGUUUAGGAAGUUUGCUCAGAGCACACUCAGCAAGGAUUGUAAGCACCUCAAUGUUAGUGGUGAUGGAUGGUGUAUCAAUAACAUGGUAAAUGAUGUAAUAUACCACAUGAUUAUCACGAUGGAUGGGUGCAUGGUCUUUGCGACACUUUAAAUUAAAGUUGAAAACAUUGGUGGAAGUAUCUCUGCACGACAAAAAAUUAAAUACAAAAUCCUCGAAAGACUCAGCAUCUUGGAAUGAUGCCUCAUCGAAGUUAAUAACGGGCAGGGAAACCCAAAGAUACCUAAACCGUUUGUUCAGAACUGAUGUUUGAACUGCAAUUUUUGCAUCCAAAAAAGAAAGGAUGUGUACAAUAAUUUGCUCAGGUAACUUAGUGAACAUAUCUUCUUCCUUCUCCUUAUCUUUCUCCUUAUUUUCUUUCUCUUCCUUUGAAGACUCUCUUCCGUAGAAAUUGUCUCGUUUCAUUUCUGUAAAGUUUUCUUCUCUUCAUAUUUGUUAGAAGUAAACAAAACAGCAUCGGUACAUUUCAAACAUUUAAAUACUGUUAUUCAUUCAGAAAAUGCUAACGAGAAAAAGUUUUCAGAUUCAGUACCUUUUGAGAGUAUAUCUGUUUUCCUUGCGCUGUGCUUCGUCGUUCCAGCGAGUGUCGUGAGAUUUUCCGGUGAGUGGGAGCGGUGGUGAGAAACCCUAGCAGAGCAUAAUAUUCUCCCUCUUCUCAAUUACCUAUAUUUAUAGUAUUAUGUUUCAUUUUUUUUUCAAGAACUAUUAUUAUUUUAAUUUUAUUUAUAUUUUCUUUAUUAUAUUUUAUCCUCUAAUUAUCUUAAUUUGUUAGGAUUCCGAUAUUCAAACAAUAUUGUAACAAAGAUGGUAAAUAUGAAAAGUUAUUAUUAUAAAUAAUUUCAAUAUAUAUAAUAAUAAAAAGGUGAAAAAGAGUUUGUGAGAGUAAUAAAGAUAAGGAAAAGAAAAUGAUAUUUUAUUACUAAUUUUUGAUAUUAUCUUGACGUUAGACACGUGUUGUGUCAAAAUGUGAAUGUGAUAAUAUAAAGGAAAAUAAAAUUUUAACACCAUUUUUUGACACCAUUUUGACACUGCACACGUGUUAAAAUGUGGUGGGAGGAUUUCAAAUUAAAAAACAAACUUUGGUUUUUCUCUUCCAAAUAUACCCUUGUCUCAACUUUUUUAAUUUGAAAUCGUCCAAUCACAUCUUGACAACAUCUUGACACGUAUACAGUGUCAAAAUAGUGUCAAAAAAUGGUGUUAAAAUAUGAUUGUCUUAAUAUAAAUUUGCAUGAGUUUAGUUUUGGAGUUGUGUAUGCACUCUAAUAUUUGCACGUGUUGUGUUUUGUUUGACUCUAAUAUCAUGGGAGCUGGUAAAACAGCUAUAGCAUAUAGCAUUGUAAGAGGAUAGUUACGGGUUUCAAGUCAUAGUAUUCACAUUUCUUAAAAAAAUUCUCAAUGUAUUUUUACGGGAAUAAUAAUAUAUUAUCUCAUCUUUUUAUGGUUCUAAUACUUAAAAUUACAUUAGUCUCAUUGGAUGUACCAAAAAUUUAUAUGCAAUCCAAAAACAAGCAUAUAAUGACAUAUUUUUUACUUUAAGAUUUUGAAUACACACUUUUAUCAAUAUCAAUCAGAGAAAUAUCACAUAACAAUAUAUGGUCAUAUUUUUUAAGUUAUUAUUUUGAAACUAGUUUCAAACCACAUAAAGAUUUUAAAAGUUUGCAUAUUUUAUUUUCUUAACUAGAUAUAACACAUCCUUGAGAUUGGAUUAUACAAAUUUCUUCCUCCAAUCACCAUUCGAAAAGCAAGUUUUAAACUCCAUAACAUAUAGAUAAGAGCUACUAAUCUUAAAUUAUAUUUUUCUAUAGAUCCAUUAAGGUGACAUUUUUUCAUAAAGAUACACUUUCCUCCAAUGAAUUUUGCUCCUUUAGAGAAAAAAUAAUUAAAGUUGGAGUAUUAAUUAUUUUUCUGAAAUGAAUUUAUUUCAUGAAUAAUGAUCUUAUUCCACUAUUUUGUGAUAGGAUAAUACUAAAAGCUUUUACAAAACUACUAGGAUAAUUAUAAGACAUUAUAUUAAUUUAAGGAGUUAUAUUUUAAGAUUGGAGUUCAAAAAUUAAUUUGGGUUAUUAUUCUUAAUUUAAUAGUUUAUAAUAAAAAAACCAAUAAUAAAAGAACAUUGAACUAGGUAAAGGAAAAAAGAUUUACCAUUUAAAACCUGAAUAUAUAUGAUAUAUCCCUAACAUCAAGACUACAAAGUAAGGAAUAGUCAGGGGGACUGCUAUUCUAUUCAUAAAGAAAAACAUGAAUUCUUUAUAAGACAGAGAAAAAAAACAUCUAAUUCGGUUUAACUUCUCCGCAAAAAGACAACUUCAACAAUAUUGGUUUUUCCAUUUUGCUCCUGUAACCAAAAUAAAUCAACAUGUAAUUCAGAAAAAGAAAUGUGUGUUUUUAAGUAUAAGAAAAUAAAAUCUUUUAGUAUAACUUACCUUCACGUUACCUUCACGUCCACGUAAAUUAAAUCAACAAGAUGUACCAAAUAAAUAUUCUUUUACGUCCUGAGGCAUGGCGGAGGAAGAAGAUGCAUUACAUAUUAACUCAAAAGUUUGCAUUCUGGUGAAAGGAGAAGAUGCAUCCACUAAUUCAUCAGAAAAUAUAGACAAAACCUACGAAAAGUAAAAGAAUUAUCACAUCAGACAACAUUGUAAUUAUGUUAAUGUGCUACAGUGAUAUUCUAAAUUAUCAUAAAUUAACAAAAAGUAAAAGACUUACUUCAAUGAUUUGGGAUGACAAAGAUAUAGUUUUUGCCCUUUUCAUGAUUUCAAAUAGCUCAAUCAAAGUAUAUAAGGAAUGGGUAUCUUCACUCAACCAACUUACAUGAAUAUAUAUUUUCUCCACAAAGAGAAGAUUGAUAUCAGUGGAAAAACAAUAUAAAUCAGAAUUAGUAUAUUUAAAACAUUGAAGCCUUGGGGUUUGAAGCUCAAAGACACAGUCAUCUAAACACAGCCCAUUCACUCCCAAAUGUGAUAUGUUUAAGUCUACAAGGUGGGGGUAGAGAUUUUGAAGGUCUUGAUUUCAAGAUAGUAUACACAGCUAUCAAAAUUUAAAGAUUCCAAAUUGACACAACCAUUAAAUGGAUCAAAAGGGUGUGGGAUAAAUUCACACUCAAAUUGACAAUGACAGAUAUAUAGGCGUUUAAGAGAAGGAAAAUCGAAAUUCGUGGUCCGACUGAAUAUGUGACAAAGUUUGAGAGUAGUGAGAGAUGAACAUACAGAGAGUUUAGGAAGUUCGCUCAGAACACACACGGCAAGAAUUGUAAGUGCCUCAAUGUUAGUGGUGAUAGAUGGUGUAUCAAUAACAUGCUCAAUGAUGGAAUCUACCACAUGACAAUUAUAAAUACCAAAGUGAGACUUUAAAC
Molecule: long non-coding RNA, 3681 nt
Filed under: Vigna radiata
Lineage: Eukaryota; Viridiplantae; Streptophyta; Magnoliopsida; Fabales; Fabaceae
Description: long non-coding RNA (VRAD_LNC004382)
Source: RNAcentral